AGAUGUGAGGGCUAUCUGGCUACGACAUCUGUCACCCCAUUGAUCUCCAGGGUUCAGUCAGUUGAUCUGGCUGGCUAGGUGAGUAUCCCCUUCCUCACUCACCACUCCAUGUGCAUCCCUCCCAAAGCUGUAACCUUGGUCAAAGAGGACAGCCUUCCCUGAAUAGACAGACCUGUCUUCAGUCAAGGGUUUAUGAGUAGCUGCGCUUCCCUGCUAGAACCUCCAAAUAAACUCUCUAGUUACUUUGGUUCAAUGAGUAACUCAUCGUUUAAAGAACAUUCAAUUAACAUAUAUUUCUGAUUGAUUUU
Erinaceus europaeus (western European hedgehog) is the source of this 308-nucleotide unclassified non-coding RNA. Its record names the gene 7SK. It matches the Rfam family "7SK RNA". Rfam says of the family: 7SK was discovered as an abundant small nuclear RNA in the mid-70s but a possible function has only recently been suggested. Two independent studies have found that 7SK RNA binds the CDK9/cyclin T complex (known as elongation factor P-TEFb). The record is from Ensembl. NCBI's taxonomy places the organism in Eukaryota, Metazoa, Chordata, Mammalia, Eulipotyphla, Erinaceidae.